UACGAAGGGUGCAAGCGUUACUCGGAAUUACUGGGCGUAAAGCGUGCGUAGGUGGUGAGUUAAGUCUGUCGUGAAAGCCCCGGGCUCAACCUGGGAAUGGCGAUGGAUACUGGCUCGCUAGAGUGCGGUAGAGGAGAGUGGAAUUCCCGGUGUAGCAGUGAAAUGCGUAGAGAUCGGGAGGAACAUCAGUUGCGAAAGGCGGCUCUCUGGACCAGCACUGACACUGAGGCACGAAAGCGUGGGGAGCAAACAGG
Molecule: ribosomal RNA, 254 nt
Filed under: uncultured bacterium
Lineage: Bacteria
Description: partial 16S ribosomal RNA
Rfam family: Bacterial small subunit ribosomal RNA
Source: RNAcentral